GGAGAUGAAUAGGUUCCUGGUGGACCUCGCGGCCUUCAAAGCCGUUGCGGGGCGCGCAGAACGUCUCGGGUGUGUUCGAUUCACACGCAUCUCCGCCA
RNAcentral lists this transfer RNA (98 nucleotides) under Slackia isoflavoniconvertens. RNAcentral describes it as "tRNA-Sec". It matches the Rfam family "Selenocysteine transfer RNA". The record is from RNAcentral. RNAcentral also lists the same sequence under 1 other name. Lineage: Bacteria; Bacillati; Actinomycetota; Coriobacteriia; Eggerthellales; Eggerthellaceae.